CGCGAAUUCGCCCUUCGGGGUGCAGCAGGCGCGAAAACUUUACACUGCGGGAAACCUCGAUAAGGGGACCCCGAGUGCCAUCACCUAAUGAUGGCUGUCCAGUUGUCUAAAUAACAUCUGUAAUCAAGGGACGGGCAAUACCGGUGCCACCCGCCGCGGUAACACCGGUCGCCCAAGUGGUAGCCUCUAUUAUUGGGUUUAAAGGGUCCGUACCCGGUUUAUUAAUUCUUUUGGGAAAUCUGGCAGCUCAUUCGUCAAGCGUCCAAAAUAUACUGUUAGGCUUGGAACCGGGAGAGGUGGGAGGUACUCCAGGGGUAGGGGUGAAAUCUUGUAAUCCUUGAGAGACCACCUAUGGAGAAGGCAUCCCACCAGAACGGCUCAGACGGUAAGGAACGAAAUCUGGGGAGCACAAACCGAUAUUAUAUACCCGGGUACUCCCAGCUGUAAACAUAUGCUCUCUAGUGUGUCAGGUGCGGUGCGACCGUUUUUGGUGCCGCAGUGAAUACUUGAAGCUGAGUCACCUGGGAAUUACAGUCGCAAGGUUGAAACUUAAAGGAAUUGGCGGGGAAGCAC
Molecule: ribosomal RNA, 573 nt
Filed under: uncultured archaeon
Lineage: Archaea
Description: bacterial SSU rRNA
Rfam family: Archaeal small subunit ribosomal RNA
Source: RNAcentral